ACUCAAAAUUUGAAGUCAAAAGACUAAAAAAUUUAUUUUUCACAGAAUUUUUUCUAAAGGCAUGUCUGUGCGUUUUGCUUGGGUCCUAUUUUUCCAAGAGCGCCUACUGAGAUUAAAAGGCUUAUAACCUGAGAACUCCUUUACCUAGAAACAUAAUCUUGGUCUCAAAUGAAAGCUAAGACCCUGGGACCCUUGUUCGACACUUGUAGCUAGUUUUGGGUAAAAUGACAUGGAUAUUCCCAUUCUAUGGACUCUUGGCGAACUAUGAAAAAUAAAUUGUGGCAUGACGUUGUAGCUGUGGAAAAAGGGAACACUCCGAAGGUGUGUAGGCAUUCUUGCUUCCUGCGGUAGAGGGCUCUUUCUAAUGUUGUGUCAUGGUGAGUUUAGAAGGCUAUAACAUGGUCUGGAAAUAACUUUUUUUAUUUGUGUUUGGGCUUAAAAUAAUCACGACAGUCUCAGCUUUCCAACAGUGAGUAUAUACUGUUAAGAUCUGAUGCUUAAAACUAUUAGCAAAAAAACUAUUAGUUUUUACGAAGGGUGUUCGUUUAGUGAAGGGUGUUCGUUUAGUGAAGGGUGUUCCUAUGUUGGAACGGUGUUCCUUAAGGGGUUAAAUUCUGGAAUUUUACAUAAACAGUUUGCUGAGGUGAUGGUUCAAAUAUACCAGUUCACCAAAUAAACCGUUGACGUCAGUCGGUCCAAUCGUCUCUCCAGUUUAGUUGAUUUGUCCCGUCUCACUGCUGAGGCGUCUGUGUGACCCUGCGAUGUGAUGUCAUUCUCCAGUGACAUCACAUCGCAGCCUCCACCUGUCAGCUCGACCGCAUCCAAUCAAAAGAGGUGUGACGGUUUCCAUCACACCCUGUAAAUGUAAAGUGUGACAGCUGACUGUUUAUGAUCAUAGUGAUGCUGUUGUAAGUGUUGUGGGUGAGAUCCUGACCCGCCAAACAUCCUGGAAAGUGACACAGAGAAGUUUUCUGUUCUUAACGGCAUCAUCACAUGAUGACAUCAGGAAACAGAGGACCCUGUCUGACUGAAGACUGGGUCCUGGCGUCACGGGGACUUCUCCUCAUUAAAGUUGGUGAUUUUUAUUUCAAUUUAAGUUCACAGAGACAGAAACUACGAGACAAAGUGAAUCUUUAUUUGAUCACAAAUGUUCAACAAGGUGAAAUUGGUGCUCAGCAUGUCACCCAGAUGGAACAGAGGUUUGCUCCGGGUGGAACAGAGGUUUGCUCCGGGUGGGACAGAGGUUUGCUCCGGGUGGGACAGAGGUUUGCUCCGGGUGGGACAGAGGUUUGCUCCGGGUGGGACAGAGGUUUGCUCCGGGUGGAACAGAGGUUUGCUCCGGGUGGAACAGAGGUUUGCUCCGGGUGGAACAGAGGUUUGCUCCGGGUGGAACAGAGGUUUGCUCCGGGUGGAACAGAGGUUUGCUCCGGGUGGAACAGAGGUUUGCUCCGGGUGGUCGGGCUCACUGUCACAGGACGACUGCUUCAGGCAACAGAGAUGUGA
This 1503-nucleotide long non-coding RNA is filed under the name Sparus aurata (gilthead seabream). RNAcentral describes it as "lncRNA (ENSSAUG00010024352.1)". Lineage: Eukaryota; Metazoa; Chordata; Actinopteri; Spariformes; Sparidae. The record is from RNAcentral.